AUUGAACGCUGGCGGCAGGCCUAACACAUGCAAGUCGAGCGGCAGCGACUUAACUGAACCUUCGGGGAACGUUAAGGGCGGCGAGCGGCGGACGGGUGAGUAAUGCCUGGGAAUAUGCCCUGAUGUGGGGGAUAACUAUUGGAAACGAUAGCUAAUACCGCAUAAUCUCUUCGGAGCAAAGAGGGGGACCUUCGGGCCUCUCGCGUCAGGAUUAGCCCAGGUGGGAUUAGCUUGUUGGUGAGGUAAUGGCUCACCAAGGCAACGAUCCCUAGCUGGUCUGAGAGGAUGAUCAGCCACACUGGAACUGAGACACGGUCCAGACUCCUACGGGAGGCAGCAGUGGGGAAUAUUGCACAAUGGGGGAAACCCUGAUGCAGCCAUGCCGCGUGUGUGAAGAAGGCCUUCGGGUUGUAAAGCACUUUCAGUAGGGAGGAAGGUAGUGUAAUUAACACCUGCAUUAUUUGACGUUACCUACAGAAGAAGCACCGGCUAACUCCGUGCCAGCAGCCGCGGUAAUACGGAGGGUGCGAGCGUUAAUCGGAAUUACUGGGCGUAAGGCGCAUGCAGGCGGCCUGUUAAGUCAGAUGUGAAAGCCCGGGGCUUAACCUCGGAAUUGCAUUUGAAACUGGCAGGCUAGAGUCUUGCAGAGGGGGGUAGAAUUUCAGGUGUAGCGGUGAAAUGCGUAGAGAUCUGAAGGAAUACCAGUGGCGAAGGCGGCCCCCUGGACAAAGACUGACGCUCAGAUGCGAAAGCGUGGGGAGCAAACAGG
RNAcentral lists this ribosomal RNA (769 nucleotides) under uncultured bacterium. RNAcentral's name for it is "bacterial SSU rRNA". It matches the Rfam family "Bacterial small subunit ribosomal RNA", at positions 28 to 776 of the family's 1533-position model. The record is from RNAcentral.